CCAGAGGGGGACAAUGCAUUUGCACAGAAUUUACAAUGAAUGAUUCACGGCGGUGCACGCAUGUGUGCACAUACUAAUUAAUAUUAAUUUGAUUCGAUGCGACUAUCUAAUUACUUUUUCUUUUUUUUUUUUUUGGCAACAUGGAGGCCAAGUCCUUUUCUACAUAAAGACCUCAUAGGACAGACCCUUUACUUGCACAAUUGCCUUAGGGAGACCCAUUUCAAAUUUUAAAACUUUCAAGUCAGUGCUAGCAGUGAAUCACUUAAUAGGACAAGUUGCUUACGAUCCCAAUUUAUUACCCAGUGUCUUGUCCUUCCUAACAGUGCAACGUAUCCUUUUCUUUUGACAAAAGCACAGAAAAAGAAGAGCACUCUUUCGGUCUUCCCCCGGCGUUUGAUCAAUUUAUAGAUCUGCUUCUGUGAAUUUGCCCAUCGAGAAUUUAGGGUGAAUAUCUUGUUUCCGAAUCAAAGGCAAGUUUUUUGCAACCAAUUUCAAUUUCUGAUAUGGUAGGAAUUCUAGGGGACAAAAAUUCCAUCUCACCUGCUCACGAAAGAGUUCAUAUCGUGCCUUUGAAUCUCGCAAAGGGCGCUUUAUUUAUGCAUACAAUGUCCAUUACUGUGUUUUUCUUGAUUGAUACUGAUGGAGGCUUGGUAGUAUUUGAUAUUAAGUCCCAUAUUGAGUAGGCUGGGAUGCUUAAUAGGCAUUUUAAGUGAAUCGGUUGUCCUAACUCAACGGCCUUUUGGGUAGAAUUCCCCAUCCCAUUAGCUACCUAUCAAUUGAUAUAAGAGCGAGGUUGUUGAUGGUUCCAGAGAGGGCUGUCAUGAUCUAAUUGACUUUCAAUCUUUACAAUUCACCGGUGUAGCUUUCUGCAUCUGUGAAUUGGACAUAAUUUUUGCUAUAAUCUUUUCUUUAGUGACAUUUUAUCUCACAAUAGAUCUUAUCUGAAAAGUUCAUUUUUAGUCUUUGAAAUAUACUUUUACAAUCUAUUGAAGAAAAAAUAAAAGAUUCUUUGUUUUGGCCCACCCUAGUUUUAUUCUUGAAGAAGCUUUCAGACAGGAAGUUUUAUUAGAUAACAAUAAAGGUCUGUUGAUUAGAGUCUUGCCUCCCACUAUUUAUUAAUUGAAUUUAGUAAUUAUAAUGAAUAUUCCAAGAGAGAUAAAUUUGACAAAAAUGGCUAACUUAAAUGAGAAACUAUGGUAAGUCUUGAUCUUCAUAGUUUGUUAUGAAUAUCCCAAAAUUGACAACAUGAGUCCAUUUAGACAGAGAUAUUAGCAAUUUGUAGCAUGAGGAAGUAAAUUGAUGCCAAUCAUUUCCAGUAAUUCAAAAGCUACUGUAUGAAGAAUCAAAUAUGUUUGCAAGAAGCAUGUUACAAAAUAGUUGUAUUUGCAUAGAACAAAGUUGUUGCUUUGGGUUUCAGUGAUCUAAGACGUAGGGAAAGUAAUUUUGUUUGGAUCUUGUGAUUUCAAGCAAUAACUUUAAAGGAGUAUUUUAUCAAAUUGAAGAACUGAAUUAUUACUCAACAAAUUCAAAUUAAUACUGGGUGAGAUCGCAGCAUGUUGCAAAAUGGCUAGAUUCCGCAGAAGGAAUUUUUUUGGUUAGCCUUCAGUGGACUAAUAGCGAAUAAAGGGAAUGUAAUUUGUUUGGGUAUCGUGUUUUCAGACAACAUGUUGCAGAAUUGUAGAUCUCUAUAGAAGAUGGUUAUUGGUUUGGUCUUCAGUAGUCUGAUACCACUUAUAGGGAAGAUUGUUAUUGUUUUGGGUCCUGUAGUUGGAGCUGUUUGGCUACUUACUUUCUCAAUUUAUACCAGUGUACCAAGGUUGAGGUGGGCAGAUAUGAUGGUUGAUGAAAAUUCUUUUUAUCCAGAUCUCUCUUUCUUUCUCCUUUCAUCUAUCUUUCUUCUUUUUCAUGACAAAUGGUAUUGGAGCAAUAGUCCAUCGACCAUGAAGCCAUGUGUUUAAAAGCUCCAAUGAGAGAGCAAGGGGGCCAAAUUUGUCUUCCUAUGGAGCAGUGAAUUGCAUAUUUGAUCGAUCAAGUUCUGUCAAGAAUGGAGCGCAGGAUGUCAAAUAUUCUAGAACUGACAAAAGAGAUAUCAAAAUAGAUAACCUAGUUGAUGAGGUCAAUGGUAUCAAGUGGACAGCGUGUUUGGUAUUCAUGGGCAGGUAAAGACUCUUAUCCACAUGAUCAUCCCCUGAGGAACUUCCAAAAUCUUUUCCAGGGGAUGUGCUUGGUGAGUUCCAAGGUAAGAGAUGUACAUAUUAGUGAUCAAAAAGACGAAAGAUCCAAUAAAGGAUAUGAUGCCACUGAGGCAAGGGGGAGAAUUAAUGAACAUUAAGACUGAAUAUGCUAUCUUUUAAGGUAUAUCUUACUUGAAUCGAGCUGAUCAGUUGCUUCCUGCGUGGACUAAAGGAGGAAAUUUAGCAAUGGGGUGUGGCUAUUCAGACCACAAAGGGGAUGAGAAGUAAGUUACCUGGGUAGUUGGAGCUUAGGGCUAAUUACUCUCUCAAUAUAUACCAAUAUGACAAGGGCUGAGGAGGAAGAUAUGACGGUUAAUAAUGAUUCUUUUCAUCAAAAUCUCUCUUUCUCACACCUUUCAUCUGUGUGUGUGUGUGUGUGUGUUGUUCUGUUUUUUUCAGUAACAGUUUUUCAAUUUAUGAGGGACCACUCACUGCUUAUGUGAAGAGUAAACAUUUAAAUGUUGCCUCGUGUAACAAAUAGUGAUACAAAUGAACAGUUUGGUCUUCCAUUAAUAUUCAUUUUUUGAUCCAUUUAA
Molecule: long non-coding RNA, 2770 nt
Organism: Neltuma alba
Lineage: Eukaryota; Viridiplantae; Streptophyta; Magnoliopsida; Fabales; Fabaceae
Exons: 2
Source: RefSeq, a predicted model, not a curated record